RNAcentral lists this ribosomal RNA (504 nucleotides) under uncultured bacterium. Its description in RNAcentral is "partial 16S ribosomal RNA". It matches the Rfam family "Bacterial small subunit ribosomal RNA", at positions 30 to 523 of the family's 1533-position model. The record is from RNAcentral.
AUUGAACGCUGGCGGCAGGCCUAACACAUGCAAGUCGAACGGUAGCACAGAGAGCUUGCUCUCGGGUGACGAGUGGCGGACGGGUGAGUAACGUCUGGGAAACUGCCCGAUGGAGGGGGAUAACUACUGGAAACGGUAGCUAAUACCGCAUAACAUCGCAAGACCAAAGUGGGGGACCUUCGGGCCUCACACCAUCGGAUGUGCCCAGAUGGGAUUAGCUAGUAGGUGGGGUAAUGGCUCACCUAGGCGACGAUCCCUAGCUGGUCUGAGAGGAUGAACAGCCACACUGGAACUGAGACACGGUCCAGACUCCUACGGGAGGCAGCAGUGGGGAAUAUUGCACAACGGGCGCAAGCCUGAUGCAGCCAUGCCGCGUGUAUGAAGAAGGCCUUCGGGUUGUAAAGUACUUUCAGCGGGGAGGAAGGCGGUGAAGUUAAUAGCUUCACCGAUUGACGUUACCCGCAGAAGAAGCACCGGCUAACUCCGUGCCAGCCGCCGCCGUAA